This 252-nucleotide ribosomal RNA is filed under the name uncultured bacterium. RNAcentral describes it as "partial 16S ribosomal RNA". It matches the Rfam family "Bacterial small subunit ribosomal RNA", at positions 524 to 776 of the family's 1533-position model. The record is from RNAcentral.
UACGAGGGGGCUAGCGUUGUUCGGAAUUACUGGGCGUAAAGCGCACGUAGGCGGCUUUGUAAGUUAGAGGUGAAAGCCCGGAGCUCAACUCCGGAAUUGCCUUUAAGACUGCAUCGCUAGAAUCAUGGAGAGGUGAGUGGAAUUCCGAGUGUAGAGGUGAAAUUCGUAGAUAUUCGGAAGAACACCAGUGGCGAAGGCGACUCACUGGACAUGUAUUGACGCUGAGGUGCGAAAGCGUGGGGAGCAAACAGG